Long non-coding RNA from Sycon ciliatum, 1163 nucleotides. RefSeq lists it as uncharacterized. The record is from RefSeq and is a predicted model, not a curated record. Lineage: Eukaryota; Metazoa; Porifera; Calcarea; Leucosolenida; Sycettidae. The transcript has 2 exons.
ACUGCCCGUAGAGGAACUGUAGAAGAUGACUACGAAACAUUCCAUCGUUCAGUUGGAAAAAUUCGUAAAACUUUUGUCUUCCAAAAACCUCCCAAAGCUUCCAGGUGGCGAUGGAGAUGUUCUAGUUCUGAGCAAGAAUCCUGAUGGAACAAAAAGAACCGUCUGGGGCCCACCAUUAUUCAGGCCAUCUGGAACCGUAGUCAUCACUGGUCACCCUGUUAAGCUUGGCCGACAGACGAUUGAGGGUCCAAGCCUUCAUGCGUUACUUCGUCGUGGCACACCCAAUCAUAAGGAGUGGGUGACUGAUGAGCGAUGGUAUAAUCCUGCAAUCCGUCUCGAAUUCCAGACGUUACAUCACAGAGGCCUGCCUGGAGUCUACAAGACGAUGUCAUCCUUCCCGUUGAAGAUGGCGGGAAAUGGAAUCUAUCGCAUGAGGAAGCCGCACUAUGGGUGGAAGAGAUGGUGCGAUGCUCACGAUCCAGGCGAGUUGACACAGUUCAGGUCGGGCAAAACCUGUUCACAGAUUCUCCUACACCGCUGAUAUGGGGGCCUCCGCUGAGUACACUUUCUUUUGAAGAUUACGAUGAAUUCAUGUGGGAUCUGGAGCGGUCUACAAGGAAUGCGAACUAUGCUAUAAGCAGACCAGAUCCGUCGAGCACCAGCUGUACUCGAAUUUUACUGUCUAUUGACAAAGUAAUAGAAUACAGGAGCAGAUACUUUGGACACCCCUGCAUCGUAGACAUACGAUUCCUUCUGGAUGGCCAGGCCGAUGUUCGGAAGGUAAUUAUAGAAAAGUGUGUUUUCAGACCUCAGCUCAACUUGUAAGCGCACACUAUGGGUUUCCUAUCUACGCGUGUCAGCGAUUAAUGAAAUUCUCCUGAUCUCCUGAUCCUGAUCAUCUGUGUCACCUGAUUUCCUGAACUUGUACUCUGUGUUAUCAUUAAAUUUUAUCCUUCACUUUUUUUGUUGUUGUAUUUUGUUAUUGUUUUUCUCCUUUUGAAUUGAGUUUCUUGACUGAGUUCGUUGAAAAUGAUUUAUUUUAUUUGAGCCUCUAAAUCCGGAGAGGGGGCUUAUGUCAUUUGGCGCAGUAUUGAGAAAAUGCAUUUAUGUACUAGUCAAGAUUUAUUUAUUUAUAUAUAUUUCAUUCAAUUCGUGGCCCAUGA